This 351-nucleotide ribosomal RNA is filed under the name uncultured Spirotrichea. RNAcentral's name for it is "SSU rRNA". It matches the Rfam family "Eukaryotic small subunit ribosomal RNA", at positions 153 to 510 of the family's 1831-position model. Lineage: Eukaryota; Ciliophora; Spirotrichea. The record is from RNAcentral.
UAAUUCUAGAGCUAAUACAUGCUGCAAUGCCCGACUUUGCGGAAGGGCGGUAUUUAUUAGAUAACAAGCCAAUAUUCCUUGUGUCUAUUGUGGUGACUCAUAAUAACUGAUCGAAUCGCAAGGCCUACGGCCGCGAUAAGUCAUUCAAGUUUCUGCCCCAUCAGCUUUCGAUGGUAGUGUAUUGGACUACCAUGGCAAUAACGGGUAACGGAGAAUUAGGGUUCGAUUCCGGAGAGGGAGCCUGAGAAACGGCUACCACAUCUAAGGAUGGCAGCAGAGGCGUAAAUUACCCAAUCCUGACUCAGGGAGGUAGUGACAAGAAAUAACGAACCGUGACAUUGUUACGGGAUU